This is a long non-coding RNA of Drosophila simulans, 5018 nucleotides long. RefSeq lists it as uncharacterized. The transcript has 3 exons. NCBI's taxonomy places the organism in Eukaryota, Metazoa, Arthropoda, Insecta, Diptera, Drosophilidae. The record is from RefSeq and is a predicted model, not a curated record.
UAUUUGACUAAGAAAAGCCCAAUAUGGAUUCAGUAUUUAAUACCAUUGCUAAUCAUUUUUCCAUUAUGGAAGAUCGACUGUAAGUCUGUACGUCACACGUAUUGCCGAUUGGCCUUUAUCCAGCAAACGAGUUAACUGAGUUACCAACUAAACUGAACUGAUUGACGAACCGAGCGGAUCUAUAGUUUGGGCCAUAUUUGCUUAUAACCAAAUGCCCCAUGAUGGAUGAUGUUGGUCUAAGUGCAAUCGCCAGACUUAUUCGACUUCUUGAGCCCUCUGCCAAUCGACUGAUCGAUAACAGAUACAUAACUGGUUGCCGUUAUUUGCGCUGACUACAGCUAACGGUACAUUCGUAGCGGGCGUACGUAAACGUUUUUGCAUAUGGUAACAACAAUACCGUUUCGGAGGUGCGGCACUGAUUGAUUUACCGGAUUUUGACAAAGCACUCUUAAAAAACAAAACCUAUCCGAGUUAAACAGAAUGUUUAAGAUUAAUGUCAUUAAAGGUUCUUGUGUGAUAGUAUCAUGGAGUUUUGCUAAGUUAUAUUAUAUGUAAGAAAAGACUAUUUGUGAAAACGAACUUAAUUUUUUAAGAGAUGCACAUGGACUUUUUCCGCGAGUGUAGACAGCGCGUCUGAAGUGGAGCGCACAUGCGAAUCCGAUCGUUUAGAUUGGGCCCAGAAGAACUCUAACCUGUGCACUAUAUGUAAUCGUUUCGAUUCCGGGCGUGCAAUGGAUCGCGCUCUUGCUCCUCUCUUCGUGGCCCACUCAGAUAACGCCGUGCAAGGUGACCACGGGAACAACACCAAAAAAUAAUGACAGUCACACGGAUGGGAGAGAUUUUUAGGUUGGCGGGGUUCGGCGAUAAUGUGUGUUGUUUACAAGUGCACUGAUUUCAAAUUGAAUUCCUUCUGGUAUUCCUUGUUUUUCAUUUAUUUGCAAUUUUUCCGUUUUCCGUUCCGAUCCUCUUGUAUGCUUCACUUUCAGGAUACCCACGUUUAAAAAUUGUUGAAAAAAAAAAUAAACACUCGCAGGAAUCGUUGGCUUUCGCCUUUCGCUGUGUUGUGUGUAGUUUUAACUGUUUACUUUUUUUUUCUUUUGGAACAAAAUAGGUUGAAGAGAAUCGCGAAACACUGGAAGACUGAGCGAAAAAAAAAAAUAAACACUCUCGUCGAUCGCGUCGCAGGACCGUUACCGUUACCGGUGCACGCUGAAUUUGAUGUGAAAAAUGGAAGGUUGACACUUUUUGUUAACGGUGACGAUCGCUCCGUCGCUUCUCGAUUCCCGUAACCGUUCUGAUUUAAAUGGAACGCUCUGCUCCAAGCUCACGUCGGUUUCCAGUCUCUGCCGGCGUAGGCGUAGGCGUCGACGUCGCUGCCCGCUAACCGCUAUUUCGGUUUCUUUUUCGCUUUUCCGUUUCGUUUUCGACAAUUUCCAGCCGAGCUUUAAAUUUAAAGUCGCCUUCUCUCUCCGCCCGUUUCCCGUUUUCCCGUAAGGAGCUUCACCGUUACGUUGCUACCAAUUGGUUUUCAAAACGAGCUCUCCGAGUGCGGUACGUAAAAUAUGAAAAGAAAUCAGAGCGAAGAGCUCAAAACCGCACUGCGAGCGAACAAGCGGUAUUAAUACAAUUCAACCAGCUCCUUUAACUGCCGAUCGGUGAGUUAGUUCACUUAUAGAUGUGUAUGUAUGGGGUUGUGUGCACUGUACGUGUGAUCUCUAAUCCAGUGCUCACUCACUUUGAGCUCUUCGCUCAUGAAAACAAGAACAAGAAGACAGUGCGGAAUCACUCAAAGAGGUGUGUGAGUGGCUUUUUUUUCGAGUGUGCGGGUGGGGGAGCCCCACCCCCAGCCCUGAACUAACUAAACGGAACUGAACUAAACUAAAUCAAGUUGAAAUGCCGAUCGACGAACGGCAACUACGAAUUUUGCCAGCAGUGCUCAGCCCACUAACUGCCUGCCCCCAACCUCCCCCUCCACCCAACACCCCCACCCCCCGCCAACCAACCAAAAUCGAUCGUCGCAAAAAAGAGAUACUGUGUAGUAACCAACGGAAUAUGGGGUUAGUACAGUGGAGCAAAUUGUCGCCAGGAUUGAACCACACAUCUCAAGAUCUUAAUGAAAAUGAUAUCAUAUUAAAAUUGAUAUAAUAAAAAAAAUUAUUAUAUAUUUCUAUAAAACUUUCUGAGCUCCCUAUUCCACCCUUGAAUCAUUGAAUAUUACAAUAAAAAUAUCCAAUCCAAGUGAUAACAUUUCAACAACAUUUCCUAUAAGCCAUAAAAUUCGGCCCUGACAUGCCCAUUUAAUUAACGUCAAAAACUCGAUUUUAUACAACCCAAUUUAGUAAAAGAUAUCUACGGUUAAGAAAAUUGACACUCAUUGGGUAUUUCAUGUUACAGUAAUCUUUAUUGCAAAUAUGUUAUGGUUUGAUUUUAAGGAAAACGUUUAUUGUUUAUAAAUGGUUAGAGCUAAGGUUAAAUAGGACAGAUACUUAGAUGGGAAGGAUAUUUAUAUAUUGAAAACUAACUAAAUCGUAGUUGUAUUGCUUCGAUUCCAUGAAAGUUAGAUGUCUAGAUCAAAAACACUCUAUUUCUUAUCGCUAUUGUGCGGUUCGGAUGCGAGCAUCACUUAUCACGACCCACUGUGUGCUCUGUUUUUGCGGAUCAGCUUGGCCAGCGACCUUUUUUAGAAUCUACGGAGCAUGGGCCAGAUUCCCCACCCAAGGUGGGCGCAUAAAAACCUUACCUACGGCGCCACCGCCACGCCCACCGACGAACCGUCAAGCCCAAAAAAACACACCUAAACGUGCGUUGUCAAAAAAAAAAAAAAAAAAAAAGAAACAACCGAAGCGACCACAAUCACAAUCGCAACCAACGUAAAUAAUUUGUCUACGGAUUUUAGUGCUUUACGACGGGCACUAGCCGAGCGCAAACUUAAAUCGUCAAACGGCAGACGAGCCACCCCAAUAGACCGAUCCACACCCACCCGCUGAACCAGCGAGCCACCAAAACAAUCACCUGGUAGCACGUUACUACCCACCAUCAUCCCACCUUGAUCUUGGGGGCUCAAACCACCUGAUUCUGCCGUCGUGGAAGGUAUUCACUGUCAAUGCCAUUGUCAAUAAAGAAGAAGUCGAUCGGCAUUGAUGGUUAAAGGGAAUUUGAUUUCUAGGUACCCAUAGAUAUGUUCCGUAAUACCAUGUUCAAGAUCACUUGAGUGGUAAACAUAGGGUUUUGGGGUGUUCUUUGACUUCAAAAUGCUUACAAAAGAGAUCGAAGAUCUUAUAAGCAAUAUGAUUAUCCUUCUAUGAACUCAUAGCUAAUAAACAAUAAGGUUUAAUAAUGAUUUAAUAAUAAAUAUAAGCUCUUCCGUAUAUAAAAAAAGAGUGCAGAAAGGAUCUUGUGGCCCACUGUGCACGUGGAAUACCUGGGGAGUCGAAUCGAAGGGAACUCAAGAUGUGAGAGCCAUCCAUUCUCCCCCAGAUCGAUUCGGAUUUGGCGACUGCGAAAGAGCGGAGAAAGCUCAAGAGAGCGCGGAGAUGGAGAUGGCCGGUGCCCGGGGGGCUACGGAUAGUCGGGGACAAUGAUAGUGUUGAUAACAAGUGCUUUGCACUGGAUAUGAGAAUGGGAAUCUUCUCCAAAACCCGAAAGCCCUGCACUGCAAGAAAUUCUAUUUGCAAGUUUUCAAAUCUCAAAAAAUCCACGUUUUUAAUACCAUUUCGUUGGGAGAACUCAGUGUUAUACAAUCAAGAGUGUUAAAAAAUAUCUGCUUCAAAUAUUAUUUCUCUUCCAGUUAUGUUUUUAGGCCCACUGUGAGCCGGCGCAGCCCACUGUGCUCGUAAAAAUCACAACUCACGAUCAUCGGUGAUCUACGGUUUUCAGAUUAAAAUGUAGAACAAUGCGGGGACCAUGACUCCUAGGAUUUUGUCUUGUGAAAUGACGAGUAAAUGAAUUAAUAAAUAAGCUCAAAAGGUUUAAUGAACCAAUAAAAAAUCGUUAUUAUUUGUGAUAUAAAAUAAGAUAUCUAUAUGAUUACAAAUAUAAUUCAUAUAAAGAUUGUUAUCAUUUAAUAGGAAACGAUAAGCAGCGUGAUGAUACCAUAAGGUAUUCUACGAAAUAAUUAGUCAAUAAUACGUAUUUGUGCAUUUCUUCGAGUGUUCUUCUUCAUACGCAAUCCCCGGAAGACAUGCGUAUAUAUUUUCUAUAUUGGGCUAUUUCUCGUCUUUCCCACGUCAUCGAUCGUAUUUGACCAGCUCCACAUCCACUCCCUGCGUUGGGAGAUACCCCCACCCCAAGAAAGCAGCCCGGUUUGCUCCUCAAAUCAGAUCGGGCAAAUAUAACUCAACGAGGUGCUAAAAGAUCCCAUUUGUGCUCGAUCGCUGGAGCCUUUAAUUGAAAAGAUAAGCUGCCUCAGCGCGAAAAGUGCGAGUUUUCGUUACAGAAGCCCAGAGAUUCCACACAGUGGGCCAAAGUCGAAAGAGAGAAAUAACUCAAGGUUGAGUCGGAAUCGGAAUCGGAAUCGUAAGCCCUAUUUAAAUUGGCAACUGAUUCAUACGUGCGAGCUGCAUUAGCCAAUGUUGAUAAGCAUAAUUAAUUAAUUACGCUGCAGCCACGAAAUGCUAACCAGCUUUGAUGUAUCGACGGAACCGCCCAGGUAUUUCACCUGUCGUCUUCCCAAAGUGGCCGCCACAAAUCCGAGUGUAUUUAAAUAAAUUCAAGCGAAUUGUAAUUGAUGGGGCACCAGGCAGGCCCCCGGUUCUCCAAAAAUUAUCGUCUUGGAUGCCGCCGUUUUAUGGCGUGGACAACCCAAAAGUAAUGAUCGAUUUGCGGUUGACACCUGGUGAUGAUUUGGGCGCCCUUCCGGUUGAAUCAAUCAAUCAUCUGCAUGAUUGAUGGAUGGUAUUGAGAAACUCCUUCGAAAACUGCGGUGUAUCUAUCAACUUGCUUCUUCGGAAUCCUUUGACUUGAGUCAUUAUUGGAAUAUAUAGUAUACUUAUCAAUCAAUUAAUGAUACGACUGCCAAA